UACACUCCUGCGGGAGGCAGCAGUGGGGAAUUUUGGACAAUGGGCGAAAGCCUGAUCCAGCCAUGCCGCGUGCAGGAUGAAGGCCUUCGGGUUGUAAACUGCUUUUGUACGGAACGAAACGGCCUUUUCUAAUAAAGAGGGCUAAUGACGGUACCGUAAGAAUAAGCACCGGCUAACUACGUGCCAGCAGCCGCGGUAAUACGUAGGGUGCAAGCGUUAAUCGGAAUUACUGGGCGUAAAGCGUGCGCAGGCGGUUAUGUAAGACAGUUGUGAAAUCCCCGGGCUCAACCUGGGAACUGCAUCUGUGACUGCAUAGCUAGAGUACGGUAGAGGGGGAUGGAAUUCCGCGUGUAGCAGUGAAAUGCGUAGAUAUGCGGAGGAACACCGAUGGCGAAGGCAAUCCCCUGGACCUGUACUGACGCUCAUGCACGAAAGCGUGGGGAGCAAACAGGAUUAGAUACCCCGGUAGUCCCAU
RNAcentral lists this ribosomal RNA (475 nucleotides) under uncultured organism. Its description in RNAcentral is "partial 16S ribosomal RNA". It matches the Rfam family "Bacterial small subunit ribosomal RNA", at positions 332 to 798 of the family's 1533-position model. The record is from RNAcentral.